AUACUUACCUGGCCAAAGGGAGACACCGUGAUCACCAAGGCGGUUCACCCAGGGCGGUUCACCCAGGGCGAGGCUCGGCCAUUGCACUCCGGCUGUGCUGACCCCUGCGAAUUCCCAAAUGUGGAAAUCUCGAUUGCAUAAUUUCUGGUAGUGGGGGACUGCGUUCGCCCUUCCCCCUG
Molecule: small nuclear RNA, 179 nt
Filed under: Esox lucius (northern pike)
Lineage: Eukaryota; Metazoa; Chordata; Actinopteri; Esociformes; Esocidae
Description: U1 spliceosomal RNA
Rfam family: U1 spliceosomal RNA
About the family: U1 is a small nuclear RNA (snRNA) component of the spliceosome (involved in pre-mRNA splicing).
Source: Rfam by way of RNAcentral